Molecule: long non-coding RNA, 3596 nt
Filed under: Cicer arietinum (chickpea)
Lineage: Eukaryota; Viridiplantae; Streptophyta; Magnoliopsida; Fabales; Fabaceae
Description: long non-coding RNA (CARI_LNC002225)
Source: RNAcentral
GAAAAGUCACAACAAAUAAAUAAGAGAAUUUGCACCAUUAUUUUUAUUUUUCCUGUUCUUGUUUCUUUCUCUUUUCUUAUGAGUAUUUUUUAUUUUUCACUUUUAUGGACGAUGACAAAAAUGGAUGCACCACAAGACUUCUUCAGUGGUACGUGUUAUCAUCAUAAUAUUCUACAUGUUGUAUGUUGUAGUCCAUCGCCAAACCUGAAGAAUGAUUCAUAGAAGUUGCUUUAGUUUCAUCAUCAAACAAUUCUACAUAUGGUUUGUAAUCCAUUGUCAAGCUUGAAUAAGGGUUCGUGGGAGAUGUCCUAUUUUCAUCAUUAGAAAAUUUGUAAAGGUGUUUUGUUUAGAUCAAGUUCUAAAGAUGAUUUGUUUAUAUCAAGGUCCAAAGGCAUGUUUAUAUUUACAAAGAUUGACCAGUAAUGAAAAAAGAAAAUAAAAAUACCCAUACCCAUUUAAAGCCUCAAUUUAAUUAUAUAUUGUAUUUAGUGCGAGCAAAAUAAAAUUUUGGAUGAAGUAAGAAAUCAAAAGUUUUGAUACAACAAGUGUAGAAGAUGAGGACCGUGACACACAUUUAUUUAUUUAUUUAUUUAUUUGACUUAUUAAGGUUACUUUGGUAAAUAUAUAUAUGACUUAACAAUAUUUUUUAAUAUGCAUAAUUUAAUUCAUUUUUAUUUGCAGUUCAUAUCGAGGAGGGAGUACUUCAUCUAUCUCUUAAAAUAAGACAUGAUGAGUAAAUAACAUAAAUUAAAUGUUUAUUUGAUGCAUAGAUUAUAUAUGAUAUAAAGUUGAAUAAAGAUAUAAUAAUGACAUAAUAAAUAUUAUUAUAUAUUGUAUUUGAUGCGCUCGUAUAAUAAUAUUAUUUUACUAUGUCAAAUGUUUAAUACACACCUCAUUGUGACAUAAUAUAGUGGUUAUCAUAUUUAAACAAUUAAAUUGUCAAUUUGAAACAAUUACAUUAUUUUUUUACAUAGAGGAAUUGAUUAAUGUUAAUGCCUUAAUUCAUCAAACUCAAAAUUCAUAAAACAUUAUUUUGUUAGCACACUAGAUAUUUUUCGUUAUUUAUAUAUAAAUGUCUCGCAUUUCAUUCAUCACCUCAAAAUAGUAAUACACAUAAUAAAACAUCAUGCGAUUAAAUUACAGGUAAAUAAUUAUGAAUAUUAGAAUGUUAUAAUAAAGGCAAAAAAGUAACUUAUACUCUUACAAACAUGAGUAUCUAAUCAUGAUAAAAUCAGUAUUCAACGGAUAUCUCGAGUAUAGUCCCACCUAAAUGUAAAUUUUUCCUAUCGACAUCGCUCUCAAGAUAUCAUCGGUCAUGAAUCUUUAAUUAUUUUAUAACACACCCUCCAACAUAUCAUAUUUAUAUGUAUAAGUAUGUAGGAUAUAUAUUUGUAGUUAUGUCCAUCUUAACAUAUUAACAUCAACAAAAUCAUAACAACGAGGGCUUACUAAUUACAAAUUUCAAACUUAUUAUUUAAGUUAAUAACUAAUAAUUCUUAUCAUAUAACUAAUUAUUAUUGAAUCUUUUUUACUUGUCUAAUUGAUUGAUCUAAUAUUUAUAAUCAAUUAUUAGUUAACUGAUCAAUAUUUAACUUCUGAAUUUAACAAAUUCUUAUUAACUAAUGAUAAAUUUUUUUAACUUAACUAAUAAAUCAAUUGUUCACUCUAACUCAUCAUUUCAUUAAUCUACAUGAGUUAGAGUCAACUUAAAUGGUUGACCAUUACCCUAAUAAAUUAUUUAAUUAACUUACUUGACUAGUACCAUUAACAUCAUCACAAACUUAUCACUUAGGCUAAAUUGUAUAUUUUAAGAUAGAAUCAACUUAAAUGGUUGACCAUUACCCUAAUAAAUUAUUUAAUUAACUUACUUGACUAGUACCAUUAACAUCAUCACAAACUUAUCACUUAGGCUAAAUUGUAUAUUUUAAGAUAGAAUCAACUUAAAUGGUUGACCAUUACCCUAAUAAAUUAUUUAAUUAACUUACUUGACUAGUACCAUUAACAUCAUCACAAACUUAUCACUUAGGCUAAAUUGUAUAUUUUAAGAUAGAAUCAACUUAAAUGGUUGACCAUUACCCUAAUAAAUUAUUUAAUUAACUUACUUGACUAGUACCAUUAACAUCAUCACAAACUUAUCACUUAGGCUAAAUUGUAUAUUUUAAGAUAGAAUCAACUUAAAUGGUUGACCAUUACCCUAAUAAAUUAUUUAAUUAACUUACUUGACUAGUACCAUUAACAUCAUCACAAACUUAUCACUUAGGCUAAAUUGUAUAUUUUAAGAUAGAAUCAACUCGGUUGGGAUAAUCAGGGCCGUUGAUGGAAGGAGGUGGAUAGCGAAGGCAAGGACGGAACGCGUGGCGUUUGGUGAAGUGGGUUUGCGUGGUGCGUGGGAUAGAUGCCACGCUGGCAAAAAUAGUAGCAUUAGUGGAUUGCGUCUAGCGGCCGACAAAACCAAGGAAUGGAGGAUGAUGUAGUAGGUACUGUAGAUACUGACCCCACCGCACUCCUUCUUAACUUCUUAAACACCGAAAUCUAACUAACCCUUCCAAGUAUUGAUUAAAUUAAAUAUAUUCAAUAUAAUCAAGAUUAAUUAAAUAAAGUAAAAUCUAAUGAACCAUCUCUCCUUAUUAAUUAUUAUCUGAAAUUGAUAUAUGAAAAAAAUUAAUUCAUAUUUCUUGAAAUAAAAUAUUAUUCUUUAUUUUAUAAUAAUUGUCACACUUGCCAAAAAAAAUAUUCAAAUAUAAUUAUCAUUUUCAAUGUACAUUGAUUAACUUUUAUUAUUUAAAUAUUUUAAUUAAUAUUAUUUAACUAAAUUUUUUACUUUUUAUUUAUGGUAAUAAGAACCAACAAAAUAAUUAAAAAUAAUUAAUUUAAUAAAAUUAUUUUAUUAUCUCAUUUUUUUAUUAUAUAUUUAUAACUUAUGUUAAGUCGUCGUUUUCAAUCAAUAUUAUGAAUGUAUGGAGUAUAAAUUAAAAUCAAUGACUUAUGCCUUAUUUAAUCAUAAUAAAAUCUCUAAAUCAUCUUUCAACUUUUUAUUUUAUUAUAAGCAAUUUUAAUUAACUUUUCAAUCUUUCAUUUUGUUAUUUUUAUAAUACCCUUUUAUUGAUUUUUUGUAACUAUUUUUUAUACCUGCAUAAUUCAAUAAAAUCUUCUAGGUUGUCUAGAGGUUGGUAAGUAGAAAAGUCACAACAAAUAAAUAAGAGAAUUUGCACCAUUAUUUUUAUUUUUCCUGUUCUUGUUUCUUUCUCUUUUCUUAUGAGUAUUUUUUAUUUUUCACUUUUAUGGACGAUGACAAAAAUGGAUGCACCACAAGACUUCUUCAGUGGUACGUGUUAUCAUCAUAAUAUUCUACAUGUUGUAUGUUGUAGUCCAUCGCCAAACCUGAAGAAUGAUUCAUAGAAGUUGCUUUAGUUUCAUCAUCAAACAAUUCUACAUAUGGUUUGUAAUCCAUUGUCAAGCUUGAAUAAGGGUUCGUGGGAGAUGUCCUAUUUUCAUCAUUAGAAAAUUUGUAAAGGUGUUUUGUUUAGAUCAAGUUCUAAAGAUGAUUUGUUUAUAUCAAGGUCCAAAGGCAUGUUUAUAUUUACAAAGAUUGACCA